This 468-nucleotide ribosomal RNA is filed under the name uncultured bacterium. RNAcentral's name for it is "partial 16S ribosomal RNA". It matches the Rfam family "Bacterial small subunit ribosomal RNA", at positions 28 to 507 of the family's 1533-position model. The record is from RNAcentral.
GACGAACGCUGGCGGCGUGCUUAACACAUGCAAGUCGAACGGAAAGGCCCUGCUUUUGUGGGGUGCUCGAGUGGCGAACGGGUGAGUAACACGUGAGUAGCCUGCCCUUGACUUUGGGAUAACUUCAGGAAACUGGGGCUAAUACCGGAUAGGAGCUCCUGCUGCAUGGUGGGGGUUGGAAAGUUUCGGCGGUUGGGGAUGGACUCGCGGCUUAUCAGCUUGUUGGUGGGGUAGUGGCUUACCAAGGCUUUGACGGGUAGCCGGCCUGAGAGGGUGACCGGCCACAUUGGGACUGAGAUACGGCUCAGACUCCUACGGGAGGCAGCAGUGGGGAAUAUUGCACAAUGGGCGGAAGCCUGAUGCAGCAACGCCGCGUGCGGGAUGACGGCCUUCGGGUUGUAAACCGCUUUCGCCUGUGACGAAGCGUGAGUGACGGUAAUGGGUAAAGAAGCACCGGCUAACUACGUG